RNAcentral lists this long non-coding RNA (1077 nucleotides) under Brassica rapa (field mustard). RNAcentral describes it as "long non-coding RNA (BRAP_LNC002980)". The record is from RNAcentral. Lineage: Eukaryota; Viridiplantae; Streptophyta; Magnoliopsida; Brassicales; Brassicaceae.
AACAAGUCAGCGUGUAUCUUCCAAGCUCCAAUUAAUAUCAGUUUCCUUUUAAUGAGUCACACAUUCACAAGCUAGAAGACACAGAACAAAACUGAAAGAACAGAAGCAUUACAAGAACAGAUUCUCCAAGGACACAAGUAACGAACAAGUGUGAUUAGGAAAGCUAUGUCUCAGUUUUAUUUGCAACUCUAAGAUCACAGUAGCUUUGCAUUUAAUAGAGUAAAUUUUAUAGAGCAGAAACUGUAUUCUUCAGUUCUUUGAGUUCUUGAUAUCAAAAACACACACAAAAAAGCAUCUACUUAUUUAGAAUAAAAGAAUGCUGACGAUUACUUCUAAGCUCGGUUGCCUUCAGGUUAUCAUUCAUAUAUAUGAGACUUAGAAGUUCUGAUACUCUAAAGAAAGCGUAAGCGACAGACGAAUGUUAAAUUCAAAAUUAAGCUUUGUAAAUCAAAAGUAUACGAUUCCAUAGAUAACUUUCAAAUUGCAAUCCCUAAACGGAGAGAAUCAGGAACGAGAAGAAAACUUACUUCGGAGAGAAGCUUAGCGGUGUCAGGAGGAAGCAAGACGUACACGUACACAACGGAUCAACGCUCCCUAAUAACACCAUUACAUUGUCAAAAGGGAACAUCUAAGCAAGGACUCAUCUACAACAACAACUAGAAGUGAACAUAACCCAGAAGAUCGAGAGAUACCUUUGAUUUCGUUUUCGUUUUCGUUUUCAGAAGAUCCAUGUGAGAUGGCCCAUCGAUUUCGAUUCAGAACAAACCCCUAGCCUUCGAUUUCAUUUUCUUCAUAAGAACAUAUGGCCUUCGAUUUCGAUUCUGGACAAACCCCUCGCCUUUGAUUUCGAUUUAGAACAAACCCAGAACCUUUGAUUUUGAUUCAGAACGAUCUUUGAUUUUGAUUUCGAUGUCGAUGACUGAAAGAGAGAUGAGAAAUAAUUAACCCUAUUGGUACCUUAGCGUAAAAUUAGGCGGCCCAUUCUUAGCCCACAUUAAAAAAUACGGGUAUAGGGUUAUAAAUUUUCAUGCGGGCCGGGCUAACCUUUUAGAAAUGAGCCCACGACAACAUCCCUAG